UGGUAAAUAAAGUUGCUGGCGGCCAAUA
Molecule: non-coding RNA, 28 nt
Filed under: Rattus norvegicus (Norway rat)
Lineage: Eukaryota; Metazoa; Chordata; Mammalia; Rodentia; Muridae
Source: RNAcentral